Molecule: ribosomal RNA, 521 nt
Filed under: uncultured archaeon
Lineage: Archaea
Description: bacterial SSU rRNA
Rfam family: Archaeal small subunit ribosomal RNA
Source: RNAcentral
CCGACGGUGAGGGGUGAAGUGCUGGGGGCGCAAACCGGAUUAGAUACCCGGGUAGUCCCAGCAGUAAACGAUGCCAGCUAUGUGUUGCUGGAACCAUGGGUUCCAGCAGUGCCGAAGGGAAGCCGUGAAGCUGGCCACCUGGGAAGUACGGUCGCAAGGCUGAAACUUAAAGGAAUUGGCGGGGGAGUACCACAAGCCGGUGGAGCCUGCGGUUUAAUUGGAUACAACGCCGGGAAUCUUACCGGAGGGGACAGCAGUAUGAAGGCCAGGCUAAAGACCUUGCCAGAUCAGCUGAGAGGAGGUGCAUGGCCGUCGCCAGUUCGUACCGUGAGGCAUCCUGUUUAGUCAGGCAACGAUCGAGACCCGCAGUCCUAUUUGCCAGCAUGCCCUUUGGGGUGUAUGGGUACAAUAAGACGACCGCCAGCGCUAAGCUGGAGGAAGGAGCGGGCUACGGUAGGUCAGCAUGCCACCGAAUCCUCCGGGAUACACGCGGGCUACAAUGGUCAGGACAAAAGGUACCG